UGAGAUAAUGAGGGAUAAACAAAAUCCUAAAGAGACAAAAACUCAAUCAUCAAAUUCAACCAAAAAAAAGUGUUGUGUUCCAAUGUGAAUAAUAAACUGAAGAAAAAAAAGUUAAAAGGCUUAAGUAAUUAUGAUUCGUCAAUUAUAGAAAAAGCUUUAAAAGCAAUAGAAGACAUAGAGCUGUCCUUGAGAAAAGCUGCUGCUGCUUAUGGAGUACCGAUUGCUACCUUUGUUAGAUGAAAAAGUAUUAGUCCUGAGAAGGCAAAAAUUAGAACUGAGCCAGCGACAGUAUUAUCUUUAAAAGAAGAGGAUGUUAUUGUUCAGUUGUUAUUCUACAGAGCAGCAAUAGGGUCACCUGUGACGAAAACUGACUUAUUAAAGAUGUAUUACAAUUUGUUAUCAUCUUAGACAAUCAUUCUAAUGUGAUAAACUGUGAAUAAAAUAAUUUAACUAAUGAUAGACAACUUUUUACGGUUACAUAUGAAUCGAGUCAAGUUAGUCUUCAAGAAUCAUUAACUGAUAGCAAUAAUGUAAUACGAUGCCCUUCUAAAGACUUUAGUGAACACAGCCUAAUUGAUCAAACUAUCUCUACUGAUGAUACAAACUUAGAUAUGUCUGUACAGCUCAGAUAGAUUACAACAGAGCUCACAAAUAUUCAUCCUACAAAUCCUAUAAACAACAAAAUUUAUCAAUUAGAAUUUAUGAAAGAAAAUUUGGAUCCUACGCCUGCAAUGAUUGACGAACAUCGUUUUAUUCAUAAGUUUUCAUCAAUAACUGUUGAUAACGAUAAAUCUCCCGAAAAACCUCUGAAAGAAAUAUUCACUUUGCCGUUGGAUUAUUUACUGAAGAAAAAAAUAAUAAAAAUUGAAAAAACAGGCAAGUCAAAGUUACCAUCUGUGGGGAUCUCUGAUGAAUGGUACAAACAAUUAAAAA
This 933-nucleotide long non-coding RNA is filed under the name Cotesia glomerata. RNAcentral's name for it is "uncharacterized LOC123260591". The record is from RNAcentral. Lineage: Eukaryota; Metazoa; Arthropoda; Insecta; Hymenoptera; Braconidae.